AGUGAACGCUGGCGGUAGGCCUAACACAUGCAAGUCGAACGGCAGCACAGUAAGAGCUUGCUCUUACGGGUGGCGAGUGGCGGACGGGUGAGGAAUACAUCGGAAUCUACUUUUUCGUGGGGGAUAACGUAGGGAAACUUACGCUAAUACCGCAUACGACCUACGGGUGAAAGCAGGGGAUCUUCGGACCUUGCGCGAUUGAAUGAGCCGAUGUCGGAUUAGCUAGUUGGCGGGGUAAAGGCCCACCAAGGCGACGAUCCGUAGCUGGUCUGAGAGGAUGAUCAGCCACACUGGAACUGAGACGCGGACCAGACUCCUACGGGAGGCAGCAGUGGGGAAUAUUGGACAAUGGGCGCAAGCCUGAUACAGCCAUACCGCGUGGGUGAAGAAGGCCUUCGGGUUGUAAAGCCCUUUUGUUGGGAGAGAAAAGCAGCAGGUUAAUACCCCGCUGUUCUGACGGUACCCAAAGAAUAAGCACCGGCUAACUUCGUG
Molecule: ribosomal RNA, 492 nt
Filed under: uncultured bacterium
Lineage: Bacteria
Description: partial 16S ribosomal RNA
Rfam family: Bacterial small subunit ribosomal RNA
Source: RNAcentral